Non-coding RNA from Mycena epipterygia, 90 nucleotides. The record is from the annotation of a GenBank genome assembly. Lineage: Eukaryota; Fungi; Basidiomycota; Agaricomycetes; Agaricales; Mycenaceae.
GCACCGGUGGUGUAUGGUACACGCGCCAUGCCUGUCUGAGUGGAACCACGCGUUUAUCGGCGAGCCGGGGUUCGAUUCCCCGCCGGUGCA